This 1640-nucleotide long non-coding RNA is filed under the name Mus musculus (house mouse). RNAcentral's name for it is "predicted gene, 41750". Lineage: Eukaryota; Metazoa; Chordata; Mammalia; Rodentia; Muridae. The record is from RNAcentral.
AGAGAGAGAAAUCUAGGGCUGCUGUGCAACCCGCCAACCAGGCGCUGUCUGGAGGUGCUACCUGUCCGUUCAGGUCACCUGUGCGGGCUGAGAGGUCUCUGGACGCCAGUAGCGCAGGGUGCGUUUUCUUUUAGGAACAGAAAGAGCAAGCUCACCCGGACACGCACACACAGGCACAAACGCACCCUGACGACCAGGACAUGCUCAGACUUAUGCCGAACCACAGCCACAGCCACGGAGACACACCCGCGCCCGCUCAUUCUGGAGAUGACAGCUGUCUCCUGGUCCAACAGAGAGGUGGCUGUAAACAAACCCAGGAACACCCAGAAGCAGGAGGAAAGAAACACACAUAAGCGCUCCUGUGGAGACAUGGAGUGCGGACCACUCAGACACCGGUGUCCACAUCCAGUUCUCCACAGGAUCCCUCUGAGAUCUCUCCUCCUGGGUCUGGGAUACCCUGGACUACUAUGGCCGAUGUCUCUGCCAACAGUGCUUCCUUUAGUUGAUGAUGUUAAAACAUUGAUAUCUGGACCAUCCUCAGACAAGCUGCCAGUCACUUCGCCAUCACCUUGGCAACCGUGAAGUGGAGCAGCGCAACCAGCAAAGCUCUCCAAACAGGUGAGCCGUGGGAAGCAGAGAGACAGAGACCUGGGGCAGCACUGCAGCGAAGCAGUUGCACAGAAACCCCAGGCCUUUGCAGGUAAUUAUCAGCUCUCAGUCACCUCCCCACUGUGUUUCCGUUCCCUACACCUCCACCCCUCCCACCCCUCGCUGUCACUUUGGUAAUCUCUCCCUUUAUUUCUCAAAGUUUGCAGUUAAACCUUGUACGAGUGGCUCAUUUUGGAAUCAGUGUGAUCAAGAGUCACCCCGAUAGAGAAAUACAGGCCUGGCUUCCUUCCUUUAUUGAGACACAUUAACAAAAGCCACAGAACCAGAAAUGGGAAAUGCUCUCUAUUCACGCACAGGAUGGUAAAAGAAAGAUAGAGCAUCUUAUAGACUUGAGGGUGUCAGCAUCACUCACAAUCCCCUGGUGCUUCUCAUACCAAUCCUUGUACAUGCUGGGAAGGGCUCCCUAGCAUUUUGCGCUUCCUUCCUGCCACAGAGAGUGAACCCGAAUCUCAGAAGAGAAAAAUGUUGUGUAGAAGGAUACGGUUGGCACAUGACAGCCAUCAAUAGAAACCCAGUUUUCAGGACUCAUCCUUACCCCUGUGGUCCACAGGCCUCUGGUUCUGGCUUUGGCUUGUGCUGUUCAUGCACGUUGAUGCUGCUGCCUCUCAGAUCCUCUUUCACGUCUAUGAUGUAGGUGCUGAGAUCUGUAAACUCCAUUUCUGAGGAUUUCUUGCUGGGUGUCUUGAUGAUCUCACUGGCAGCCAGGGAUAGUUGGUACUCACUGCCAGCUCAUCUCAGCGCCCCUGGAACCAGCAAAUUGGAGAAGGCAUCUGAUGUGAUAUUCGGAGAAAGCGUUUGGGCUCCAGAGAAGAUCCCUCUGGGAAUGGAAAAAAGAAGUGCCUGUCGUGGUGUUUGGGAGCGUGAGACGAUGAAGGGGUGUUCAGUGUUCUGUUUCUAGAUCUUUACAGCUCUACCCAGCUCCACACAUUUCAUUGCUAGAAAUCAAAAGAUAAUAAACUUUAAGUCUAUAA